Coregonus clupeaformis (lake whitefish) is the source of this 603-nucleotide long non-coding RNA. RefSeq lists it as uncharacterized. The record is from RefSeq and is a predicted model, not a curated record. NCBI's taxonomy places the organism in Eukaryota, Metazoa, Chordata, Actinopteri, Salmoniformes, Salmonidae. The transcript has 3 exons.
GCCCAGCCUCGCCUCCAACUGACAGAGCACCCAAUACAAUUUUGAAUUUCUUCUUCAGAAGAAGAGAGCAGCUGUCAACGCCACAAAGCUUUCUCGUGGAUAUUGGCAUUUUAGUUGAUUAUACAUUCAUAACAUUUAAUAUGUUUGUAACCUGGUGGGUAAUCAUUUAUUCAACUGCAAGCAAUGGUUUUCAUCGAGCUUGCUAACACAGCUAGCUAGAUAGCUAACGUUAGCUCCUCCUUUAGCUUGCCAACAGCAUGCAGUGUGACUGACCAAGUGGAUCCUUCUGGUCUGGAGUCUCAGCUGCCUAUGGACAGACCCCAGCCAAUGGAAGUAGACUUUUGUAUCAUUUAGCUAGCUAGUUCCCAAUUCAAUUAAAAUGUCUUCAUGAACAUUAACCCCUUAUUUAUUCUUCAUUUUGUGUGGAAUUGUUUCACUGACUCUGUCUCUGCAUUAUCCACAGGGUAACUGUCAACUUGUGAGUCUGAAUAUGGACACUGGAGGUGAAGGAAUCUGCAUUAUGCGACCUUCCAGUGACUCCCAUGCCACAAUUCAACAAUGGAGCAAGUUAUUUGAGAAAAAAAUAAAGAUAAUUGAAAACAC